CACACACACACACACACACACACACACAGAGGCAUACACAGAGGCAUACACACACUAGGGGACAAGGGACAGGGGAGGAAGGAGACUUACUAUUCAUUGUUAGCCCUUCCGCAUUAUUAAUAAUUCAAAUUUAUACUAUGUGAAUGAUUACCUAUUCAAAGUGAGUGAAUGCAUGCAUGAAUGAGCGUAAGUCUCCUUGACAAACUCCGCAGGACUUGUUUUGGGGCUUCCUUAGCAAUAUUUCCAGUCUUGAAGGUGACAGAGGCCAGUUACCCACAGUUUGGGGUUGAUCUAUUCCAAUUCUCAGGAGGUAUGAGUCCAUGUUUAAGCUCAUGAAGUCCCAUUAACCCUGAUGAACUUUCGCCCUUGGCCUCCUGAACUACAUGAGUCAGCUUUCCACAGAGUCUGGGCUCUCAAAAUUGUGCAUGAGAAUUACUUGGAGGCCUUAUUAACUGCACAACUUUCCAGCCUAACCUCCAGACACUCAGAUUCAAACGUGGGGUGCGGCCGGGGGGCACCACCACCUGGAAAGAAACUUUCAAAGCCCCUGGGGAGAAACUGGUGAGUCUGCCUCCGUUCAGAACUAGCCUGAGAGCCUGCCAGAUUGGGGAAGAAAGCUGUUCUGAAACGUGGAUCCGUCCCUGCAAUAUUCUCCGUAUUCAUCGUCUUUACCCCAUAUCCACCUAACUAAAAACUGAGUACUCCACCCCCCACACCCCGCAGGUAAUUUAGGAUUGUACUGGUGAGCGCAGGGGCUGCAAGGGUGCACGGAGAGCUGCCCGCGCAGGCGACGUCCUGUUUGCCUUUCCGGUUCCUCGGCCGGCCGGCUCCUUUAAAAUAAAUAAUGCGUGCAUGCAUACAUACAGACGUACGGACGCAAGCAAGUUACCCUCUAGGCUGCGGGCUCCCUGGAAUCUCCACAAGUUGCUCCCAUCAUGGCAGAACUCACGGUGGAGACGCGGACCAGUGUGGACUGGCAGAAGCGCUGCCUGGCCCUAGAAACCCAGCUUUUCCGGUUCCGACUGCAGGCCAGCAAGAUCAGAGAGCUGCUGGCCGACAAGGUGAGUCCUGGGGAGCAGGUAGUCUCCAAGGUCCCUGAAGAAAUCACUGUCACAGAGGAGAGUAGGGGAAGGCCAACUUUCUUUUCAUUUUUUGUUUUUUAGAGUUUUGAUUGAUUGGUUGAUUGAUUAUAAUAUAUUUGACAUAUUGUGUAAUUCAAGAUGUACAACAUGUUAAUUUGAUCCAUUUAUAUAUUAUAAUAUGAUCACCAUUUCAGCAAUAAUUAGCUUGUCUAUCAUAUUACAUAAUUAUCAUUUCCUUUUAGUGGUUGGAAUAAUUACAUUCUAGUCUCAGCAAGUUUGAUGACGAUUGCACAAUGAAAAGUGAAAGUGUUAGUCACUCAGUCAUGUCCAACUCUUUGAGACCC
RNAcentral lists this long non-coding RNA (1426 nucleotides) under Capra hircus (goat). RNAcentral describes it as "lncRNA (ENSCHIG00010020944.1)". Lineage: Eukaryota; Metazoa; Chordata; Mammalia; Artiodactyla; Bovidae. The record is from RNAcentral.